Molecule: ribosomal RNA, 112 nt
Filed under: Carlito syrichta (Philippine tarsier)
Lineage: Eukaryota; Metazoa; Chordata; Mammalia; Primates; Tarsiidae
Source: RNAcentral
GACUACGGUCAUACCACCCGGAACGCCUUGGUCUCUGUCUGAUCCCAGAAACUAAGCAGGAUCAAGCCUGGUUAGUACUUAGAUGAGAGAAUAGAGGAAGAGAGUUGUGUCA